CGCAGACUGCUCUCCGACACGUGGUCGCCGUUCUGCGCUGUAGCUCAGUUCUGGUGGUUAGGUUUUUUCGGCUUGUGGUUAAUGGGCAGUGUAAGCAAACUAUGCGCUUUGUAUUCUGGCGGUACGAACCCUGCCCUAGCUAUUUCUUUCCGACUCUGCCUGCUGUGUAUAUCGCUAUCAUGACCAGCAUUGACGUCCUCGGAUGGCUUAGAGGUCGCCAUUUUUGGUUGGUGUCUUUGUCGUGCUAUCAGGAAGAUAGGUACCCAUAGCGGCACAGACGGCGGUCUGCGGUGCGCUGUCCAGUGAGGAGCAAGUGAGAACCUUAGGAUUCUCUCCCACAAACCCUUCCUCCCCGCCCCUUCGUCUCCGCCCGCCACCACCUUCCCAGCAAGCACUGUGCAUAUUUGCAUACGACUUCAAGGCUUUGCCUUUACUUUUAAAUAAAAAUCCGAAGAAAAUUAUAGAGUUUUCUUUGAAGAUUUCGCUCCAGAUCAAAAUGUUCUGCAAUUAUACUCUUAUCUUCAGGAACCGGGAAUAUAAAUUUCCAAUGGCUUUAUUUUCACCCUUACCAUAAAAGGAAUAUCCUAACACUGCCCCCACGUUUUGCAGUAGCCUCGGCAAAAAGGGCUUCUGUCGUGAGUGGCACACGUAGGGCAACUCGUUUGCUCUGCGUGCGGAAUCGACAUCAAGAGAUUUCGGAAGCAUAAUUUUUUGGUACUUGGGCAGCUAGUGAUCGUUGGUCCUGGCGCCCCGCUGUUUUAAA
This is a non-coding RNA of Sus scrofa (pig), 763 nucleotides long. Lineage: Eukaryota; Metazoa; Chordata; Mammalia; Artiodactyla; Suidae. The record is from RefSeq and is a predicted model, not a curated record.